AUGAACGCUGGCGGUAUGCUUAACACAUGCAAGUCGAACGAUCCUUACGGAUAGUGGCGGUACUGGUGAGUAACACGUGAGUUAUCAACGCUUAGGCGAGGCAUACCAAAUGGAAACGUUUGUUAAUUCCUCAUAAUGCUAUAAAGUUAAAGAUUUAUUGCCUAAGCACGAGCUUGCGUCUGAUUAGCUUGUUGGUGGGGUAAUGGCCUACCAAGGCAAUGAUCAGUAACUGUUUUGAGAAGAUGGACAGUCACACUGGAAUUUAGAACGGGACAGACUCCUACGGGAGGCAGCAGUGGGGAAUAUUUGGCAAUGGGCGAAAGCUUGACCAAGCAAUACCGCGUGAAGGAUGACGGCCUUAGGGUUGUAAACUUCUUUUCUGAUCGAUGAAGUUCUGACAGUAUUUCAGGAAUAAGCAU
This 419-nucleotide ribosomal RNA is filed under the name uncultured cyanobacterium. RNAcentral describes it as "bacterial SSU rRNA". It matches the Rfam family "Bacterial small subunit ribosomal RNA", at positions 29 to 493 of the family's 1533-position model. Lineage: Bacteria; Bacillati; Cyanobacteriota. The record is from RNAcentral.